This 28-nucleotide non-coding RNA is filed under the name Rattus norvegicus (Norway rat). The record is from RNAcentral. Lineage: Eukaryota; Metazoa; Chordata; Mammalia; Rodentia; Muridae.
GAGACUUUUUGUGUGUCCUGAGCCUCCU